RNAcentral lists this ribosomal RNA (253 nucleotides) under uncultured bacterium. Its description in RNAcentral is "partial 16S ribosomal RNA". It matches the Rfam family "Bacterial small subunit ribosomal RNA", at positions 524 to 776 of the family's 1533-position model. The record is from RNAcentral.
UACGUAGGGGGCUAGCGUUGUCCGGAAUCAUUGGGCGUAAAGCGCGCGUAGGCGGCCAGAUAAGUCCGGUGUGAAAGUCACAGGCUCAACCUGUGAAUGCCGCUGGAAACUGUCUGGCUUGAGUCCGGAAGGGGCGAGUGGAAUUCCUGGUGUAGCGGUGAAAUGCGCAGAUAUCGGGAGGAACACCGGUGGCGAAGGCGGCAUCCUGGACCGACACUGACGCUGAGGCGCGAAAGCUAGGGUAGCAAACGGG